RNAcentral lists this small RNA (124 nucleotides) under Alishewanella sp. WH16-1. Its description in RNAcentral is "RtT RNA". It matches the Rfam family "RtT RNA". Rfam says of the family: This family represents a bacterial cis-regulatory element known as RtT RNA. The exact function of RtT is unknown although it is thought that it may be involved in changing the cellular response in relation to amino acid starvation. The record is from RNAcentral. Lineage: Bacteria; Pseudomonadati; Pseudomonadota; Gammaproteobacteria; Alteromonadales; Alteromonadaceae.
AGUACACGAAUCAGGGGAAGGUGAGAACCUUCGUCAGGUUCGACAAUGCGCAGCAUUGAACAGCGGAACGCAGUGACGCUGGCCUGCAAGGCGAGCACAGCGAGUAAUCCUUCCCCCUCCACCA